AGAGUGUUCAUGAGAAGAAAUUUACAUGGGAGAAUCUGAUGGGAGGGAGUAUGGAAAUGCUUUAGAUAGAGAAUUCAUAUGUGAAAUUUUCAAAAAAUGUUUAGUUAAUAAUAAUCAGGGAGGCUGGUUGGUAAAGCAUUCUCUUGCAAGCACAAGAAACUGAGUUGAGCCACCAGAACUCAAAAAAGUCAGGUGUGGGUGAUGCGCUUUCCAUUCCCAGUACUGAGGAGGCUGAGGCAGGCUGAUCCCUGGCGCUCGCUGGCCAGUCAGUUUAGUGUCCUUAGUGAAUCUCAGGCCAGUGAAACAAUCUGUUCAAAAACAAAAAGAGGAUGUCAUCUGAGGAAUGGAAACCAAGGUUAUCUUCUGGCCUCCACAUGUGCAUGAACACGUGGACAUAUAUGUGUACCUACACGUAUGAACACACAUACACACAAACACAAAAAAGAUAUAAGAGACACAAAGUUGCUCCUCUUUGUCAUAUAAGAGCAUUAAAAAAGGUGGCUGUGUAGAAGCCAGGAGCCACACACCAGAUCUGUGCCUUGAUCCAGAUCAUCUCAGUCUCUGAAACUGUAAGUAAUAAGUGCAUUUUGGUUAAACUGCCCAGUUUAAAAUAUUCUUCAUAAAGCAACCCAGCCUUGCUGAAAUAAAGAGAGUCUCCACAACAUGAGUUUCCACCUUUAUUCGGGCUACCCAGAAUAUACAAAAGCAAUGCUGUUGUAAGAUCUGAAAGAGUCCUACAAGCCUAAGGACGUGGUCCAGCUAAAAUAAACAGCAAAUACAAUAACACAGCUAACCAAAUACUUAGAGAUGCAAUGUUAAAUAUUUAUUUUAGCCUGUUUCAAGUAAGUAGGUACAGAUUGUUCACAUCCCAAGAGACUCUGUUUCUUAAAAGUUUGUAAGAAAAAAAAAUGAUGUCUAAAAACAAACAGUACAGUGUGUUUAUUUUUUAGGGGAAACUGAAAUCAGGGCUACUGAAAAUAAAACUUGAUCAUUCUAACCGCAAUGCUUGUUUGUAGAAAUGUCUGCAUUUCCGUCCUGAUCAUAAGUAUUCUUAUCUCAGUGAUGUCUAUCGCUGGUGGUUACGACAGUAGUCUGUAAGGUUACAACAGAAUUGAAGAUUCUCUUGCCCAGUAUUGCUACUCUAUAGCUAAUGUCUAGAUCUAUUCACAUGCACAAAUAUUUACCAUUGUGUUAUAGCUGCUUAAAGAUUCAUAGUCACACUAAAUAUGUUUAUAUUCUAGAAGCAAUGCAAUAUGCUAUGUAGCAUUGUUGUAUAAUAAAGUAUACCAUCU
Molecule: long non-coding RNA, 1292 nt
Filed under: Mus musculus (house mouse)
Lineage: Eukaryota; Metazoa; Chordata; Mammalia; Rodentia; Muridae
Description: long non-coding RNA chr2:10255234-10256526
Source: RNAcentral